CCAUCUGUAAUAUUCACUAAAACCGCUAGCGAUAUUGGACCGGGCCAUCAUAGGGCGGGUGAUGGCUUAUGAAUCGAGCCUGCACCACGUCCUUACAGCUGGAGUGCGGGCGCCACUGCCUGCACGCGAGCAGGCUCGAGCCUGCGCUACCACCUUACAGCUGGAGUGCGGGCGCCACUGCCUGCCCAUUAUGCACAGACCAAGUCCGCACUGUGUAGUGGGAUUCGCGCCUGCUUAUCGCAGGUUACGAGAGUCCUUUUCAAGGCUAACAAUAAAAGAGCGUAGUUUUAUCUACUGGAAGUAACGUCAUCCAUUUUUGCUGCGAUGCCUGGGUCUGCUGAGCGCAACAUUAUUAUACGAUGUUUUAAAUCUUUCACUUGCAACGAUAUUUUAUACUGAAGUAGUUCAUCCAUCUUCCAUAAGUGCUUAUUCGGGACAAGGUAAUGCAGGCACUUCUACUCAGAGCGUUGCACAAUUCAGAAAAGGGGUCAACCAGGAUGUCACACCAAGUGAAAGAAGCGCAACCUAAAUGCACAGGUGACAUGAGCUUCUGGCAUUUUCCUACAGAAGAAGAGAGAGCAGGCGACAGUCUUCUGACAGACCAGCCAGGCUUUGAGAAAAACGCCUCAGAAUACAUUAACAUUUAGCUACAGCAUACUGCUGCUGACAGCCCAGAUGGGACAAAAGAUGAUAUUGUUUCUUGUAUCUCCCAGGAACUUUCACAAGCAUGACUCCCCUUCUUUUUCGGGGUCAGGGAUACAAUGCGGCCUGGAAGGUGUAGGGAUUGCAGGAGGAGGGAAUAUCUGGCUGUGCUCUACGCUGAGCGUGACCUUUCAGUAGCUGUCCAAUGUGGCAGCACACUAAACAUAAACAGCAUAUCAUCGCAUGCAAGGCAUGUGGUUUCAUCUAAGGACUUCUGUUUGUUUUGUUGUUUUACAAACAAAUGAUGUCCUGUUGAGGUACACAUAUGCAUCCGGAUAAUAUAGGCAUAUGUGUCUCCUCCUGGUUCUGUGGUCGAGUUUUAUUUGAAACAUAAUUAUGUUGGCCUUGUUUUAAGUUUAAUGUUUCAGGUGUUGCAUGUGGCACCGUGCAAUUUGUAUUUGCAGAGAGCUAUUAUGCUGUACAGGAUCUAUAAAGAACACAUGUAAAAACAGUACGCAGUGCAGGUGUUUGCUUUUCAUUUACUUGGCAAUGUUAAGCAGGUCGAGUUGCAUCUAAACCUGAUUCUAGGUCUCAGCAGCCAGAAAACAGUCCAAUCUACUGUGAGACAUCUCGCAGCCUCGAUGCUGGCUAAUACAGUGCAAAUUUUAUUUGACAUAGAUGUCUAUGUCUUUGAUGCUGGAGAUUUUAUAGGGCAGAUGUGAGUCUCAAAGCCAGCUUUUGGACAGGUGGCACAACAGUGGCUCAUAUUGAGAUUCUCACAACCGUCACACCACAAGCACACUGACUGAGCUAGUAUUUAUGUUUUUGAAUAAUCUUAAAUAAAAAUUUGUUAUACCAUUGUUACUUGAUUAUAUUAACAUUGAAUACAGUUUCUUAGGUACUAUAGUACACUUACUACACAAAAUUUGAUAUACUAAAAAAUAAAAUGAAGGGUUUUUUGUCAUGCUCUGCUUGUCCGAUCCUCCCGUGUGCCACGCCCCCUCAUCUACCCCGUGUGGAUUCCCUGUGUUUACCAGCUGUUUCUUGUUGCUGUUAUUAGUUCAAUGAAUUGAAGUCUGCGUUAGGUAUGUUUUCCCAGGUUCGGUCAUUGACGUCCUUUUAUGUAGCGUGGUGUCGUUUUCCCUAUUAAACGCCAUAUUCUCUCGA
Long non-coding RNA from Paramormyrops kingsleyae, 1809 nucleotides. RefSeq lists it as uncharacterized. The record is from RefSeq and is a predicted model, not a curated record. NCBI's taxonomy places the organism in Eukaryota, Metazoa, Chordata, Actinopteri, Osteoglossiformes, Mormyridae.